GAGGGGCAGCAGGGUAGCAAUACCGCUGGCGACCGGCAAACGGGUGCGGAACACGUACAGAAUCUACCUUUAUCUGGGGCAUAGCCCGAAGAAAUUCGGAUUAACACCCCAUAAGAUAUUAGAGUGGCAUCACUCAGAUAUUAAAUCUCCGGAGGAUAGAGAUGACUGUGCGUCCCAUUAGCUAGUUGGUAGGGUAACGGCCUACCAAGGCGACGAUGGGUAGCUGGUGUGAGAGCACGACCAGCCACACGGGCACUGAGACACGGGCCCGACUCCUACGGGAGGCAGCAGUGAGGAAUAUUGGGCAAUGGACGCAAGUCUGACCCAGCCAUGCCGCGUGAAGGAUGAAGGCGUUCUGCGUUGUAAACUUCUUUUAUUAGGGAAGAAACCUCCGUUUUCUAAUGGAGCCGACGGUACCUAACGAAUAAGCACCGGCUAACUCCGUGCCAGCAGCCGCGGUAAUACGGAGGGUGCAAGCGUUAUCCGGAUUCACUGGGUUUAAAGGGUGUGUAGGCGGAUAUUUAAGUCAGUGGUGAAAUCUCCAGGCUCAACCUGGAAACUGCCAUUGAUACUAUUUAUCUUGAAUUCUGUUGAGGUGGGCGGAAUACAUCAUGUAGCGGUGAAAUGCUUAGAUAUGAUGUAGAACACCGAUUGCGAAGGCAGCUCACUAAGCAGACAUUGACGCUGAGGCACGAAAGCGUGGGGAUCAAACAGGAUUAGAUACCCUGGUAGUCCACGCCCUAAACGAUGAUUACUCGACAUACGCGAUACACAGUGUGUGUCUGAGCGAAAGCAUUAAGUAAUCCACCUGGGAAGUACGACCGCAAGGUUG
This 832-nucleotide ribosomal RNA is filed under the name uncultured bacterium. Its description in RNAcentral is "bacterial SSU rRNA". It matches the Rfam family "Bacterial small subunit ribosomal RNA", at positions 64 to 896 of the family's 1533-position model. The record is from RNAcentral.